CAGUAGCCGCGGUAAUACGAAGGGGGCUAGCGUUGCUCGGAAUGACUGGGCGUAAAGGGUGCGUAGGCGGCGAUCAAAGUCAGGCGUGAAAUUCCUGGGCUCAACCUGGGGGCUGCGUUUGAUACUUGAUUGCUAGAGUGGGGAAGAGGGUCGUGGAAUUCCCAGUGUAGAGGUGAAAUUCGUAGAUAUUGGGAAGAACACCGGUGGCGAAGGCGGCGACCUGGUCCUUGACUGACGCUGAGGCGCGAAAGCGUGGGGAGCAAACAGGAUUAGAUACCCGGGUAGUCCCUGUCUCUUAUAC
Molecule: ribosomal RNA, 301 nt
Filed under: uncultured bacterium
Lineage: Bacteria
Description: partial 16S ribosomal RNA
Rfam family: Bacterial small subunit ribosomal RNA
Source: RNAcentral